UGGGGAAUAUUGCACAAUGGGCGCAAGCCUGAUGCAGCCAUGCCGCGUGUGUGAAGAAGGCCUUCGGGUUGUAAAGCACUUUCAGCGAGGAGGAAGGUGGUGAACUUAAUACGUUCAUCAAUUGACGUUACUCGCAGAAGAAGCACCGGCUAACUCCGUGCCAGCAGCCGCGGUAAUACGGAGGGUGCAAGCGUUAAUCGGAAUUACUGGGCGUAAAGCGCACGCAGGCGGUUUGUUAAGUCAGAUGUGAAAUCCCCGGGCUCAACCUGGGAACCGCAUUUGAAACUGGCAAGCUAGAGUCUCGUAGAGGGGGGUAGAAUUCCAGGUGUAGCGGUGAAAUGCGUAGAGAUCUGGAGGAAUACCGGUGGCGAAGGCGGCCCCCUGGACGAAGACUGACGCUCAGGUGCGAAAGCGUGGGGAGCAAACAGGAUUAGAUACCCCUGGUAGUCCACGCUGUAAACGAUGUCGAUUUUGGAGGUUGUGCCCUUGAGGCGUGGCUUCCGGAGCUAACGCGUUAAAUCGACCGCCUGGGGAGUACGGCCGCAAGGUUAAAACUUAAAGGAAUUGACGGGGUCUAGCUG
RNAcentral lists this ribosomal RNA (581 nucleotides) under uncultured bacterium. RNAcentral describes it as "partial 16S ribosomal RNA". It matches the Rfam family "Bacterial small subunit ribosomal RNA", at positions 355 to 926 of the family's 1533-position model. The record is from RNAcentral.